RNAcentral lists this ribosomal RNA (465 nucleotides) under Vreelandella stevensii. RNAcentral describes it as "partial 16S ribosomal RNA". It matches the Rfam family "Bacterial small subunit ribosomal RNA", at positions 338 to 795 of the family's 1533-position model. The record is from RNAcentral. Lineage: Bacteria; Pseudomonadati; Pseudomonadota; Gammaproteobacteria; Oceanospirillales; Halomonadaceae.
CCUACGGGGGGCAGCAGUGGGGAAUAUUGGACAAUGGGGGCAACCCUGAUCCAGCCAUGCCGCGUGUGUGAAGAAGGCCCUCGGGUUGUAAAGCACUUUCAGUGAGGAAGAACGCCUGGUGGUUAAUACCCAUCAGGAAAGACAUCACUCACAGAAGAAGCACCGGCUAACUCCGUGCCAGCAGCCGCGGUAAUACGGAGGGUGCGAGCGUUAAUCGGAAUUACUGGGCGUAAAGCGCGCGUAGGUGGCUUGAUAAGCCGGUUGUGAAAGCCCCGGGCUCAACCUGGGAACGGCAUCCGGAACUGUCAAGCUAGAGUGCAGGAGAGGAAGGUAGAAUUCCCGGUGUAGCGGUGAAAUGCGUAGAGAUCGGGAGGAAUACCAGUGGCGAAGGCGGCCUCCUGGACUGACACUGACACUGAGGUGCGAAAGCGUGGGUAGCAAACAGGAUUAGAUACCCCGGUAGUC